Molecule: ribosomal RNA, 289 nt
Filed under: uncultured bacterium
Lineage: Bacteria
Description: partial 16S ribosomal RNA
Rfam family: Bacterial small subunit ribosomal RNA
Source: RNAcentral
GUGGAUUAGAUACCCUGGUAGUCCACGCGGUAAACGAUGAAUACUAGGUGUCGGGGGUCAAAAGACCUCCGGUGCCGUCGCAAACGCAUUAAGUAUUCCACCUGGGGAGUACGUUCGCAAGAAUGAAACUCAAAGGAAUUGACGGGGACCCGCACAAGCGGUUGAGCAUGUGGUUUAAUUCGAAGCAACGCGAAGAACCUUACCAGGUCUUGACAUCCCUCUGACCGGUCCUUAACCGGACCUUUCCUUCGGGACAGAGGAGACAGGUGGUGCACGGUUGUCGUCAGCU